This 1365-nucleotide ribosomal RNA is filed under the name uncultured bacterium. Its description in RNAcentral is "bacterial SSU rRNA". It matches the Rfam family "Bacterial small subunit ribosomal RNA", at positions 28 to 1381 of the family's 1533-position model. The record is from RNAcentral.
GAUGAACGCUAGCGACAGGCCUAACACAUGCAAGUCGAGGGGUAACGACAGAUUAGCUUGCUAAUCUGGGCGACGACCGGCGCACGGGUGCGUAACGCGUAUGCAACCUACCCAUUACAGGAGGAUAGCCCAGAGAAAUUUGGAUUAAUACUCCAUAGUAUUUGUUUAAAGCAUUUUAGACGUUUUAAAGGAUUCGUUCUGGUAAUGGAUGGGCAUGCGUAUGAUUAGUUAGUUGGUAGGGUAACGGCCUACCAAGGCGAUGAUCAUUAGGGGUUCUGAGAGGAUAGUCCCCCACACUGGUACUGAGACACGGACCAGACUCCUACGGGAGGCAGCAGUGAGGAAUAUUGGUCAAUGGGCGAGAGCCUGAACCAGCCAAGUCGCGUGCAGGAAGACUGCCCUAUGGGUUGUAAACUGCUUUUAUAUAGGAAUGAUGUGAGUUACGCGUAACUUUAUGAAUGUACUAUAUGAAUAAGCACCGGCUAACUCCGUGCCAGCAGCCGCGGUAAUACGGAGGGUGCAAGCGUUAUCCGGAUUUAUUGAGUUUAAAGGGUGCGUAGGCGGGUUUGUAAAGUCAGUGGUGAAAGUCUGUCGCUUAACGAUAGAAUUGCCAUUGAAACUGCGGAUCUUGAAUACAGUAGAGGUAGGCGGAAUAUAUUGUGUAGCGGUGAAAUGCAUAGAUACGAUAUAGAACACCAAUUGCGAAGGCAGCUUACUAUGCUGAGAUUGACGCUGAUGCACGAAAGCGUGGGUAGCGAACAGGAUUAGAUACCCUGGUAGUCCACGCCGUAAACGAUGAUCACUGGAUGUUGGCGAUACACCGUCAGUGUCUGAGCGAAAGUAUUAAGUGAUCCACCUGGGGAGUACGUUGGCAACAAUGAAACUCAAAGGAAUUGACGGGGGCCCGCACAAGCGGAGGAACAUGUGGUUUAAUUCGAUGAUACGCGAGGAACCUUACCCGGGCUUAAAUGUAGAGUGCAUGACUCAGAGAUGGGUCUUUCUACGGACUCUCUACAAGGUGCUGCAUGGUUGUCGUCAGCUCGUGCCGUGAGGUGUCGGGUUAAGUCCCAUAACGAGCGCAACCCUUACCGUUAGUUACCAUCAGGUAGAGCUGGGGACUCUAGCGGGACUGCCACCGUAAGGUGAGAGGAAGGUGGGGAUGACGUCAAAUCAGCACGGCCCUUACGUCCGGGGCUACACACGUGUUACAAUGGUGAGGACAAAGGGUAGCUACACAGCGAUGUGAUGCGAAACUCGAAACCUCAUCUCAGUUCGGAUUGGAGUUCUGCAACUCGACUCCAUGAAAGUUGGAUUCGCUAGUAAUCGGAUAUCAGCAACGAUCCGGUGAAAUACGUUCCCGGGCCU